RNAcentral lists this ribosomal RNA (548 nucleotides) under uncultured bacterium. RNAcentral describes it as "partial 16S ribosomal RNA". It matches the Rfam family "Bacterial small subunit ribosomal RNA", at positions 355 to 895 of the family's 1533-position model. The record is from RNAcentral.
UGGGGAAUUUUGGACAAUGGGCGAAAGCCUGAUCCAGCAAUGCCGCGUGUGUGAAGAAGGCCUUCGGGUUGUAAAGCACUUUUGUCCGGAAAGAAAUCCUUGGCUCUAAUACAGUCGGGGGAUGACGGUACCGGAAGAAUAAGCACCGGCUAACUACGUGCCAGCAGCCGCGGUAAUACGUAGGGUGCAAGCGUUAAUCGGAAUUACUGGGCGUAAAGCGUGCGCAGGCGGUUUGCUAAGACCGAUGUGAAAUCCCCGGGCUCAACCUGGGAACUGCAUUGGUGACUGGCAGGCUAGAGUAUGGCAGAGGGGGGUAGAAUUCCACGUGUAGCAGUGAAAUGCGUAGAGAUGUGGAGGAAUACCGAUGGCGAAGGCAGCCCCCUGGGGCCAAUACUGACGCUCAUGCACGAAAGCGUGGGGAGCAAACAGGAUUAGAUACCCUGGUAGUCCACGCCCUAAACGAUGUCAACUAGUUGUUGGGGAUUCAUUUCCUUAGUAACGUAGCUAACGCGUGAAGUUGACCGCCUGGGGAGUACGGUCGCAAGAUU